This is a long non-coding RNA of Ostrinia nubilalis (European corn borer), 1255 nucleotides long. RefSeq lists it as uncharacterized. Lineage: Eukaryota; Metazoa; Arthropoda; Insecta; Lepidoptera; Crambidae. The record is from RefSeq and is a predicted model, not a curated record. The transcript is spliced from 2 exons.
AACAAUAUCUAGAAUAUUAAUUCGACGGGGCGGACGUUAACAUAGUAUAUUUAAAUAAAAAACCAAGCAAACUAUAGAAAAAGUAGUUCCAAGGGUAGUGGCGACCAAGGAGGAUCACAGCUUCAUAAGUGGAAACCUCUCCGGUUGGCACCUGUUAAGAAGUCAUAUAAGUUGUAAGCAGACAUGCAGGUGUUCCAGUUUCUUCUAAUUUUUGCAUUAAUUGCUAUGUCUUCAGCUACAAUUAUUGAAAGAAGACCAUGCCCACGUGAUUCUAUAAGAUUGGGACCAAACUGUUACAAGUUAGACAAAAACUAUAUUAAUGAUGAUUAUUAUGUUAAUGAUAAUUAUGAUUAUUAAAUGUAUUUUUAAGCUUGAAUUAUGACUGCAUGCACACGCGUAAAAUAAUAUGCCUGAAAAUUGGCAAAAUAUGUAAAUGAUAAGUUUUUAUAAAAUGAAAUAAACAAUACGCCAACUGGCGGAAUAAAUUCGCAGUUUGGAUUAUAAAUAAACCCAAAAAUUGGGUUAUUCCGUAUUCGACCCACGACAACUCAACCCACUCAUUAUUUUUUCCUUACUCAACCCAAUUUUGUUCCUUACUCUACCCACAACAAAUUUUUAAUUUUAUGUUCCUUAUUCACCCCAAAAACAUUCCUUUUUUUUUUUUUUUUCGGGGAAAAAAUGCAUUGAAUUGCAUACCUAUCCUGCGGGGACAGGGUAGGUUAUGUGGGGCUCACCAAGUCAGAAGGACAAAGGCAUACCCACUAAAAAGACCCCGGUGCUCCGUCAUUCGCCUUAAGGGGAUUCCGGACAAAGCCUUCACUACCACAGUCCCUCCCGGCGAUUGCCCGCCUACACGACGGGCCCUACAGGCCCCCCAGGACGGGGGGCGACGGGAGCAGCAUUUUAUGUUCCUUAUUCACCCCAAAAACAUUCCUAGCUCAACCCAUUUUAAAACCACUUCAAAAAUAUAAGAUUUUUAUGCACGGUCAGAAUAAAAAUAUAUUUUUUAGAAAUUGAAGCUCAGUUAACUUUUGUGUUAAGAUCGUUCUAUUAAAUAAAACUGCAGGAGUUCUGAUACAAUAAUAUUAUUAUAUUUGAAAAACGUUUUUCACAAAAGGACACAAAUCAAAUAAUGACUAAUUAAAAUCUACUAUAAAUCCACUAUAAAUCUACUAUAAAUCAAACGACUGUGAUUUUUUAUUAAAUCAGUAUAACCAAGCUAUGGCGUAUAAUUUUUUCCCCAGACACUUGUUCA